RNAcentral lists this ribosomal RNA (460 nucleotides) under uncultured bacterium. RNAcentral's name for it is "partial 16S ribosomal RNA". It matches the Rfam family "Bacterial small subunit ribosomal RNA", at positions 338 to 795 of the family's 1533-position model. The record is from RNAcentral.
CCUACGGGUGGCAGCAGUGAGGAAUAUUGGUCAAUGGACGCAAGUCUGAACCAGCCAUGCCGCGUGCAGGAUGACGGCUCUAUGAGUUGUAAACUGCUUUUGUACGAGAGUAAACGCAGACACGCGUAGCUUUCUGAAAGUAACGUACGAAUAAGGAUCGGCCAACUCCGGGCCAGGAGCCGGGGGAAUACGGAGGAUUGAAGCGUUAUCCGGAUUUAUUGGGUUUAAAGGGUGCGUAGGCGGGCGGAUAAGUUAGAGGUUAAAUCCCGAGGCUCAACCUCGGAAGUGCCUUUGAUACUGUUCGUCUAGAGAGUAGUUGAGGUAGGCGGAAUGUGUGGUGUAGCGGUGAAAUGCUUAGAUAUCACACAGAACACCGAUUGCGAAGGCAGCUUACCAAGCUACUUCUGACGUUGAGGCACGAAAGCGUGGGGAGCAAACAGGAUUAGAUACCCCUGUAGUC